Dreissena polymorpha is the source of this 666-nucleotide long non-coding RNA. RefSeq lists it as uncharacterized. The transcript is spliced from 2 exons. The record is from RefSeq and is a predicted model, not a curated record. Lineage: Eukaryota; Metazoa; Mollusca; Bivalvia; Myida; Dreissenidae.
AUAUUGCUUUGCUCAUGUCGGUCGGUCGGUCGGUCCGUCCACCAGGUGGUUGUCGUAUGAUAAGUCAAGAACGCAUACGCCUAGGAUCAUGAAACUUCAUAGGUAGAUUGAUCAUGACUCGCAGAUGACCCCUAUUGAUUUUGAGGUCACUAGGUCAAAGGUCAAGGUCACGGUGACCCGAAAUAGUAAAAUGGUUUUCGGAUGAUAACUCAAGAACGCAUACGCCUAGGAUCAUGAAACUUCAUGGGUAGAUUGAUCAUGACUUGCAGAUGACCCCUAUUGAUUUUGAGGUCACUAGGUCAAAGGUCAAGGUCACGGUGACCCGCAAUAGUAAAAUGGUUUCCGGAUGAUAACUCAAGAAUGCAUACGCCUAGGAUCAUGAAACUUCAUGGGUAGAUUGAUCAUGAGUCGCAGAUGACCCCUAUUGAUUUUGAGGUCACUAGGUCAAAGGUCAAGGUCACGGUGACCCGAAAUAGUAAAAUGGUUUUCGGAUGAUAACUCAAGAACGCAUAUGCCUAGGAUCAUGAAACUUCAUAGGUAGAUUGAUCAUGACUCGCAGAUGACCCCUAUUGAUUUUGAGGUCACAAGGUCAAAGGUCAAGGUCACGGUGACCCGAAAUAGUAAAAUGAUUUUUGGAUGAUAACUCAAGAAUGCUUUUGCCUAGGA